GGCGUUUCUCAGGUGAUGCACCCUGGAAUCGGGCUCCCUCCUCUCUGGUUCCGGGUGUGUUACCCGAGAACCGCA
Molecule: microRNA precursor, 75 nt
Organism: Myotis lucifugus (little brown bat)
Lineage: Eukaryota; Metazoa; Chordata; Mammalia; Chiroptera; Vespertilionidae
Rfam family: mir-9223 microRNA precursor family
Source: Rfam